UACGAAGGGGGCUAGCGUUGCUCGGAAUCACUGGGCGUAAAGCGCACGUAGGCGGAUUGUUAAGUCAGGGGUGAAAUCAUGGAGCUCAACUCCAGAACUGCCUUUGAUACUGGCGAUCUUGAGUCCGGGAGAGGUGAGUGGAACUGCGAGUGUAGAGGUGAAAUUCGUAGAUAUUCGCAAGAACACCAGUGGCGAAGGCGGCUCACUGGCCCGGUACUGACGCUGAGGUGCGAAAGCGUGGGGAGCAAACAGG
This 253-nucleotide ribosomal RNA is filed under the name uncultured bacterium. RNAcentral describes it as "partial 16S ribosomal RNA". It matches the Rfam family "Bacterial small subunit ribosomal RNA", at positions 524 to 776 of the family's 1533-position model. The record is from RNAcentral.